Molecule: non-coding RNA, 28 nt
Filed under: Mus musculus (house mouse)
Lineage: Eukaryota; Metazoa; Chordata; Mammalia; Rodentia; Muridae
Source: RNAcentral
UAAGCCACUUUUGGGAGUCUUUUGGAUG